GGUGCCUUUCUAAAGAUGAAUGCUUCUCCACAUGUAGUGGCCAUGAUAGUCUUAACAUUUGGAGGGAUCCACGGAGACUCAGUGACCCAGAUGCCAGGGCAAACGACUGUCUCAGAAGGGGUUUUCCUCACUGUUAACUGCACUUAUACAGCUAAAGCCACAAAUUACCCAUCUCUUUUCUGGUAUGUCCAGUACCCUGGAAAAACUCCACAGCUCCUCUUCAGAGUCUCAAAGGCCAAGGACAAAGGAGGCAACAAAGGUUUUGAAGCCACAUAUGAUAAAGAAACCAGCUCCUUUCACUUGGAGAAAUUCUCAGUGCAAGAGUCAGACUCAGCUGUGUACUACUGCGCCCUGAGUGACACAGUGGUGGGAACUGCAGGGGGAGCUGAGCACCAACUUUGA
Molecule: non-coding RNA, 402 nt
Organism: Heterocephalus glaber (naked mole-rat)
Lineage: Eukaryota; Metazoa; Chordata; Mammalia; Rodentia; Bathyergidae
Source: the annotation of a RefSeq genome assembly